UGACUGCGAUGAUGCGAAAGGUUGCUGAGGUGCCGAUUGAUUUUUGCCAUAUGCGGCACGGAUCAGGUAAAUUUUCGCGGAGUAUGUCCACUACAAAUGGGCGA
Tumebacillus sp. is the source of this 104-nucleotide non-coding RNA. Lineage: Bacteria; Bacillati; Bacillota; Bacilli; Caryophanales; Alicyclobacillaceae. The record is from Rfam.